RNAcentral lists this long non-coding RNA (388 nucleotides) under Rattus norvegicus (Norway rat). RNAcentral describes it as "long non-coding RNA NONRATT009137". The record is from RNAcentral. Lineage: Eukaryota; Metazoa; Chordata; Mammalia; Rodentia; Muridae.
UCACCCAGCCCCACCUUCCACCAUUGGUUGAACCAGCCAAACUGUUGAGAUUCUGUCUGGGACCGCAUGAAGUCCGUGGGUGGGGAAGUCACUCGGCUCCCCAGGACAGAGCACUGCAGUUCUCUGGAUUGCAGAGGUCACCCCAUGCUGUCCAGGGUUGGACUCUGUCUUCCAGCAGCCUAGAGGCGCCUUAUAUAAAACGCUCUGUAAUUCCCGGUGUCAGGAGGAAGAAGGAUCAUCCUUCUUCCGUCAUGCUGCUUUAUGUUCCGAAGCCCCUGUUAGAUUCCUGGCACCCUGAGCCAUGGCGGCCACCGCUUUUUAGCACUGUAAUGGCUUCAUCCGGGAAAACCAAAUUGUAUAAAAAUGCAUGCAGGAAGAGCCCUUGGUG